Molecule: long non-coding RNA, 370 nt
Organism: Rosa chinensis
Lineage: Eukaryota; Viridiplantae; Streptophyta; Magnoliopsida; Rosales; Rosaceae
Exons: 4
Source: RefSeq, a predicted model, not a curated record
AGAUCGAGAGAGAGAGAGAGAACUGGAGGCUGUGUUCUAACCUGGGUUUGGAUUUUGUGGAUUUGUUUUCAGCAAAAGUAAGAGAAGAGUUGGGCUUCUUUUCUUGGGGUCCAUCCAUUUGCAAUUGUCAUGACUCAUGACUGAAACAGAAAGAGGAAGAGAAUAGGAGUUUACGGUUGUGAAAUUGGAUUUGUCAGAGGGUUGGGUGUAUGUGAUUAGUGAGGCUGUUGCUUAGUGGUGCUUCAUCAAGGGAGGCUCGACUUCAAAGCUGGUUAUCAGAAGUUCUUUAAGGUUUCACAUGCUGCUGUUGUAAGAAAUUGGUCUGCAAGGUUUGAAGAGAAGGAGAAGGUUGAAUCUGUAAAUCAAGAUA